ACUUCUCACUGGUGUACAUGAUAUGUCUUCCAACGCAUGCGUUUUUUUAAUUAUUUUGUUCAAUCCGGACCGGGCUUAUAUGGGCUUGUUGGACUGGACUGUUGCUUAUGGCCCAAUAAGCGAAGUGAUGAAUUGGAGGGAAAGCAAAUUCGAAUUCAUGGCCAAAAGAAGCAAAUUAAUUCAAAAAAUUCCACCUAGGAUUUGUGCAGAUUGUAUGUGUGAUUGACAUGUGUCAAAAAUUUCCAUUUAGCUGUGGUCUUUUUGUGUAGUUAAAAUGAUU
RNAcentral lists this long non-coding RNA (280 nucleotides) under Trifolium pratense (red clover). Its description in RNAcentral is "long non-coding RNA (TPRA_LNC011220)". Lineage: Eukaryota; Viridiplantae; Streptophyta; Magnoliopsida; Fabales; Fabaceae. The record is from RNAcentral.